AAGGAGUUGGUGAAUAUGGUUGGAGGGUCUUCUUUUAGACGUAGAUCCUUUAAGAAAUGAAAAAAGAAUAAGAAGAAUAAGAAGAAGGUGCAAAGUGCUGGGGCACCCAAGCUCAAUCAGAUCAAGAAAUUUCAGUUCGACUAGAGUCAGAUGAAAUACUUCUACUGCAAGAAGGGUACUGGAAGAGAAAUUGUCCUCAGUAUAUUAUCUCUCUAGAUCCGAACAGAUUGAGAAAGAAGCAAGUUAUUGUUGGACAAGAUAAUUAUGUGAUAACAUCUUAUAAUUUCUUAAUUUGUGAUCUACUACUUGGGUGUUAGAUACUGAAAGUCUUUUUAAUAUUUGUAAUUCAUUGCAGGGUCUGCAGGUCAAUAAAAAAUUUGAAGAAGGCGAAAGAUUCCUUAAUAUUGGAG
This 410-nucleotide long non-coding RNA is filed under the name Elaeis guineensis (African oil palm). Its description in RNAcentral is "long non-coding RNA (EGUI_LNC060335)". Lineage: Eukaryota; Viridiplantae; Streptophyta; Magnoliopsida; Arecales; Arecaceae. The record is from RNAcentral.